AGAUUCACAAAAAAACGUCUGUAUAGUGGAGAAUAAAAACGACAACUGUAUUUUCCCUGGUCUUCUUUUGUGAUGUUUUUUAAUAGAACAGAACAAUUACUGCUGUCCUUAUGAAAAAAUGUUUCAUAUCGGUGGGACAGGUUGUCUUUAAAAUCUAAGGUCCCAUCAUUAUAUCUGAAGAUCAAUUUUGUCUCCACCCCUCUCUCCUCAUCUUCUUCCACUUGCCACUUGAAGUCCUUAUUCAAAUCUCUAUUAGGGCAGUCACAUGGCAGGAGCACAUCGUCUUUCUCAAAGCCUUUGACAGUGACAGGAAUGCCUUCACCUGCAACAGAAAAGAUGACCAAUCAUAAGUCCAGUUAUGAGAAUCACAAUGUCAGUUUUCCUGCUGCAUUAAAUUAUCAAAAGUAAACUUGACAAAAUAGGAAAAAACAGAACUUGCUGCUUCUCAAAAGUUCAAUAAUCACAGAGAAACUGAGGAACAACUUGUGGGCUUUACAGCUCUGCUGUUAGAGUCAAUUUCAGAUGAAAGUAUUUCUCGUGAGGAUAUGUAGGAUUUGCUUUAUCUUCUAAAAGACCUGGCAUAAUCAUAAAAAUACAAUUCAGUGAUUUGGGUUCAUCAAUAGUACAAAAAGAGCAGAAAGUCAAGUGCCUAUAGCUUAAUAAAGUGUUAUAUUUAUGUAGGCUAUAGUGAGUAUAACGAACUAAAUAACUAACUACUAGUUAAAACUAGUUGUUUUCAUGUAGUUCUUGUGUAAUGUUUAGCUGAGUACAUUCCUCCCUGUGAAAUAUUAACAAUCAUCAUAUUUAACAACUGUACAUUUAAAACAAUCCACCCGGGAACGCCACAUUUUUAUUUACCAUCCACACAAUCACUCAUGUUUGCUUUUGUUGCUCUUGUUUCACUUUCUGAUAAAUCUCCAGUACAUCUGCACAGUUCUUUGUGUGUUUCAUGUUUUCCAUCUGUUGUUCUUUUGCACUUCAAGUGAUAACUGCCUAAAUAUUUCUAUAUUCAAAUUAUAAUCCCUUCUAUUGUGCCAAUUGCUACAUGGAAUUUAGCAACAUGUUCUAGGCAUGAAACUAUACAUGAUUGCACAACCACUCCUUGUUAGAGAUUUGAGCCUCAAUUUGUUUGCAUUUCUUCAGAUUGAAUAAAGAAAAGACAUCGAAAGAAAAGAGCUGAAAGAGCUGAUGAUAACCAGACGAUGUAAACAGACAGCUCUGACCUGACAGUUCAGGUCAUCUCCAAUAAACUAAAAUAAUUAAAACAGUCAAGGCAAAGGUCUUCUGUGACUUUUUACUGGAUUUUACAAAGUAGGCGUGUUUGUUUCUGUAUCUAUAAAUAAUCAAAUUCUUUUAAUCAAAGUAUUUCUCGAUUCUGAUGAGAAAGGUUUCAGAUUUUUUGGGGAGAAUGUAUAUAUGUGCAUUCAAAUUGCAUCUCUGAGGAUUCGCAUUAGGUUUAGUCAUUACUAAAUACUAAAAAUGUAUGAGUUUUAUAUAUAUAACUACAUGUAAUUGUACCACAUUUAGCACAUAAUUUGAUUUUUAUUAUUGAUUGUUUAAUCUUACGUACAAACUGAAUUAAAACAAAUACUAAAAUGAAAGAACUAAAAACAAAUGAUUGCCUUCCUAUACAGGUUAGACCUGAACUUGACCUUGUUGUUUUAACAGUGGUUUACGGUUGAAGAAGAACACAUUUCCAAUCACGUGACAUUAGUGAAAAAACUUUCUAUGAACAUUCACUGCUAAAAAGGAAAACAAAGUGUAACUUUUAUGAGUGUUAAAAGAUGUGAACCUUAAGUAAUCUAAUAGACUUUACCACAGCAGCCCAGUAGUUACUCCCACUUUAGCUCAUAGCUAAAAGUAUGAUUUAAAAAAACCAAAAAAUGAUUGCAAUGUCUUUGAUAAAGGAAGAGCUAAAGCUUUCAUAAGUCUUAAAACUUAAGUUUCACAGAUUAAGGCAUGAACUAGAAAUAUUUUAGUCUUUUAGUUCAGAGUUAGUUUUAAUCCACGUCUGGGAAUCUGGGUGAAUGAGUCAAGGUUGAACUGACUUGAUACGUCUUUUAGGAUGUCACGCACUACAGAUUUUAUUGCUUUGCA
Astatotilapia calliptera (eastern happy) is the source of this 2097-nucleotide long non-coding RNA. NCBI's taxonomy places the organism in Eukaryota, Metazoa, Chordata, Actinopteri, Cichliformes, Cichlidae. The record is from Ensembl.